CCAGUAAAAGGACAUUUUUUAAAAUAACUUUGCUUGGAUAAGUAAAGAGAAAACGAUUUUCAGUGCCCCAUGCAAUUGGGUUCUGACCCGGAGUCUUGGUCAUAGAACUAUUAAGCUCUACUAGGCAGCUUUGCGGCAGCAGUGCGUCAGACCUGACAUUGACGGGGUCCACUGAAAAUAGUUGAUACUUUACUUGGAUAAGUGGAGUCGCGAGUUCAAAAUGUGCACUUUAAUAUUGAGCUGGAUUCUCAAUCUUGUUGUUAGUCAUGCCCAUAUAACACCUUACUGACUAGACACUGGAAAAAGAUUCAUAAAAAAGUUUUUGUGAAGUCCACGGAAGCAUCUAAAUUAUGACGAUCAAAUACUGGCAUCAUUGGAAAGGAACAAAGAUAGAAUAUUAAUGGUGGGUCCCGAACAAGACUAGUUUAUCAACCAACUGGCAUUACAAAGUGGGUCCCGGACAGGACUAGUUUAUCAACCAACUGGCAUCACAAAGACAUACCAAAGCCGUUAGGGAUAUAAAUUGACUCUCAAUGUUUUAACUAUUAAAAGGACAUUUUUUAAAAUAACUAUAUUAAAUAUGAGUUUUUUGAAUAUAAAUUAUUAAAAAUAGCUAAUACUUUGCUUGGAUAAGUAAAAAGAAAACGAUUUCCAGUCACCUAUGCAAUUGGGUUCUGACCCGGAGUCUUGGUCAUAGAACUAUUAAGCUCUACUAGGCAGCUUUGCGGCAGCAGCGCGUCAAACCUGACAUUGAAUAGGUCCACUGAAAAUAGUUGAUACUUUACUUGUAUAAGUGGAGUCGCGAUUCCAAAAUGUGCACUUUAAUAAUGAACUGGAUUCUCAAUCUUCUUAUUAGUCAUCUUAAUGUUUAAGUAGUUUUGCAGUUUCGGAAAUUGAGUUUGUUACUCAUAAAAAUUUGCGUUGUUAAAUAGUCCUUUCCAAUGUUCUUUCUUUAGUUAAAACAUUUAGACAAGAUUUUCUAUUUGUAUUCUCGCUGAUACUAAUAAGAGGCGCAAGUCCAUGGUCGCAUCUAGAGUGUGUCUACCCACAAAUGACACCACUGUGGUGUCAAUAAUUUUUAAGGCCACUUAUUCGGUUAGCUUUGGCGUCGAUUAUGUAUAUACUGUCAAAAUUUAAAUUGUAUCAACUGUAAUCGUAUACAAAUAUUCUUAUAGUUUUAACAAUUAAAGGAAGCAUCACUUAAUAAACACACAUAAAAGUGUUUCAAUAAAAGAUUUUUGAAGAUCGCGAGUCUAACAAUGCAUAAACUUUUAAUAUGUGUAAAAUUGUUGGCGUUGAUCGUGACGCGUAAUCCGUACAAUGUAGACGUAGUCCCUGUAAGACGUAACGUAGAACGUAUGACGCAAUUAGCAUAAAUGUUCAUUGUUUGGUCCUAAAAUUUUGCGAGUUAAAUUGCUACUUCGGUCAUAAAAUGUAAUUCGUAUAACGCAGAACGUAGUCCGUCAAUCGUAUAACGUAGACCGUAUAACGCAUUAGCAAAGAUACGUAUGACGUCAAACGAAACGCAAAAACGUAGAGCGUAGAACGUAAGUCAUACCAUGGUUAACGUAGCAAUUCGUUGAAACUUAAUACAUAUUGUAAACCGCAAAUUGCAGAAAUACGUUUAACAUAAAACGCAUCGGUAUCGUUGCAUAAAACGUAAGCCCGUAAGCGUGAAA
This is a long non-coding RNA of Aethina tumida (small hive beetle), 1679 nucleotides long. RefSeq lists it as uncharacterized. The record is from RefSeq and is a predicted model, not a curated record. Lineage: Eukaryota; Metazoa; Arthropoda; Insecta; Coleoptera; Nitidulidae. The transcript is spliced from 4 exons.